This 484-nucleotide ribosomal RNA is filed under the name uncultured bacterium. RNAcentral's name for it is "partial 16S ribosomal RNA". It matches the Rfam family "Bacterial small subunit ribosomal RNA", at positions 29 to 507 of the family's 1533-position model. The record is from RNAcentral.
AUUGAACGCUGGCGGAAUGCUUUACACAUGCCAGUCGAACGGCAGCACGGGGGCAGCCCUGGUGGCGAGUGGCGAACGGGUGAGUAAUACAUCGGAACGUGCCCGGUCGUGGGGGAUAACGUAGCGAAAGUUACGCUAAUACCGCAUACGAUCUGAGGAUGAAAGCGGGGGACCUUCGGGCCUCGCGCGCUCGGAGCGGCCGAUGUCAGAUUAGGUAGUUGGUGGGGUAAAGGCCUACCAAGCCGACGAUCUGUAGCUGGUCUGAGAGGACGACCAGCCACACUGGGACUGAGACACGGCCCAGACUCCUACGGGAGGCAGCAGUGGGGAAUUUUGGACAAUGGGCGAAAGCCUGAUCCAGCAAUGCCGCGUGCAGGACGAAGGCCUUCGGGUUGUAAACUGCUUUUGUACGGAAAGAAAAGGCUCUGGCUAAUACCUGGGGCUCAUGACGGUACCGGAAGAAUAAGCACCGGCUAACUACGUG